GACGAACGCUGGCGGCGCGCUUAACACAUGCAAGUCGAACGGAAAGGCCUGCUUUCCCUUGUGGAUUGCGGGUACUCGAGUGGCGAACGGGUGAGUAACACGUGAGUGAUCUGCCCCCAACUUGGGUAUAAGCCUGGGAAACUGGGUCUAAUUCCCGAUAGGACUGCAGGGUGGUGCCUGUGGUGGAAAACGAUUUUCUAGUGGUUGGGGAUGAGCUCGCGGCCUAUCAGCUUGUUGGUGGGGUAAUGGCCUACCAAGGCGGCGACGGGUAGCCAGCCUGAGAGGGUGGACGGCCACAUUGGGACUGAGAUACGGCCCAGACUCCUACGGGAGGCAGCAGUGGGGAAUAUUGCACAAUGGGCGGAAGCCUGAUGCAGCGACGCCGCGUGGGGGAUGACGGCCUUCGGGUUGUAAACUCCUUUCGACCGCGAGGAAGCCACCUGGUUGGAAGGGUGGUGACGGUAGUGGUAGAAGAAGCACCGGCUAACUACGUG
This 494-nucleotide ribosomal RNA is filed under the name uncultured bacterium. RNAcentral's name for it is "partial 16S ribosomal RNA". It matches the Rfam family "Bacterial small subunit ribosomal RNA", at positions 28 to 507 of the family's 1533-position model. The record is from RNAcentral.